GUGGCGACCGGCGCACGGGUGAGUAACACGUAUCCAACCUGCCGAUAACUCGGGGAUAGCCUUUCGAAAGAAAGAUUAAUACCCGAUGGUAUAAUCAGACCGCAUGGUUUGAUUAUUAAAGAAUUUCGGUUAUCGAUGGGGAUGCGUUCCAUUAGGCAGUUGGUGAGGUAACGGCUCACCAAACCUUCGAUGGAUAGGGGUUCUGAGAGGAAGGUCCCCCACAUUGGAACUGAGACACGGUCCAA
Molecule: ribosomal RNA, 245 nt
Filed under: uncultured bacterium
Lineage: Bacteria
Description: partial 16S ribosomal RNA
Rfam family: Bacterial small subunit ribosomal RNA
Source: RNAcentral